UUGAGUGGCAUUAGAAUGUAAUUAAAAUGUUAUUUUAAGGGUGAGUUUAUCUUUGUACUUCAGUUUUAAUAGUAUAUAGUAGAUUUUGAUCCGCGCUUUUAAAGCACGAGAAUAUAUUUGUUGACAAUUUAUUGAUAUAACUGUUUGUUAACUAAUUUAUUUCGCUAUAAACAUUUUCGAUUUUCGUUCGACUCUAAUUUGUUUUUAUUGGUUUUGGUUUUUGGUUUAGAAAUAUAUGAAAAAUUUUGGUUAUAUAUGAAGUUGAGCUUUGGUUAAAGUGAUUGAAUAUUUUGAUAUUUUGUGUGGUAUGGAUAUAUAAAAAUUUCGAAUUUUUCGGUUUUGGUUACAUUUCUGUUUUAAAUCAUUUCAAAUAAGUGAGGUAAAAUAAAAAAAAUCCUCAUAUUGUGAAUCACCAAUAUAAUAAAAUGGGAGAAAUAUUUAGAAAAUUAUUUUAUUUACAUAUCUAUUUAUUUUAAGGUAUAAAUAAUAUAGCAAAGAAUAACAAAUAAUUUUAAUAAAAUAAAGUUACUAUAUUCAGAA
Molecule: long non-coding RNA, 540 nt
Filed under: Brassica napus (rape)
Lineage: Eukaryota; Viridiplantae; Streptophyta; Magnoliopsida; Brassicales; Brassicaceae
Description: long non-coding RNA (BNAP_LNC019013)
Source: RNAcentral